Long non-coding RNA from Alligator mississippiensis (American alligator), 848 nucleotides. RefSeq lists it as uncharacterized. The record is from RefSeq and is a predicted model, not a curated record. The transcript is spliced from 2 exons. Lineage: Eukaryota; Metazoa; Chordata; Crocodylia; Alligatoridae.
CCUGUCCCUCGGGCCCCGCCCCCCGGGGCUGUGCGCGCGCCGCUCCCUCCCUUCGCCGCCUGCGUCCCCUGAGCGAGGGGAGCCGGCGGCGAUUGCCCCGCGGGCACAGCGGAGUCGCGUGGCAAACCGCCCAUCUCUGGUGGCCCCUGGGCAGAAGGGAUGACGUGCAGGAGCGGGCGGGGCCUGGGUGCCCGGAGACGUGGGUGCUGCAGCCUUUCACAAACGCUGAGAAGGAAAGAAAGCGGGAGCCUCCUCUGGGCUCCGUCCUGGACUCCUGUGACCUUGGGCGACCUUUGCUCACGGGAGGAUGUAUUUGUUGACCUCCUCAGGAUCUGGCCAUAAAGUCUAAUGUCUCUGUUUUCCCAUCUGUAAAAUGGAGACGGACUGUCAAGCUAAUAGGGAUACAGGGAGGAUUCACUAAUACUUGCUAAGCACCAUCCAUAAUGCAAAGGGGAGUCCUGCUGACUGACCAGAACCUGACUAUGCUGGGCACUGUACAAAUGCAACACAAAAAGAUGGUCCCACAGUGUUUACAACCUAAUGAGGAGAUGGUUGGACUGCACAUGAAGAGUUCACAGAUGUAGAUCGUGCCACUUUCUCCAACACUUUUAAAAAUGUCAUCAGUAAAACCCACCUGAAAAAAAAUCAGAGUACUUUAACACGUCACUGUGAUUAUAAGUCAAGAGAAAGAUUUACGAUCUGUAUCUUUAGCAUAUUGUAAAUGUGUCCUUAAGAGAUUUUUUAAAGUCCCUUGACUGUGUGUUUAUAUACAUAUUUUCCAAAAGAACUAGAUUCCUUUAAAAGCAUGCAUCUAGCCACUUCACUUAUUAAAACUCUCUUCUCUUGCA